GGCGGGGCAAAGAUCUCCCUUUUCAGCUCCUGGAGGUCUCGAGCCGAGACCCCGGUCCGCUACGGUCUUUCCGCAGGAAUGAAACCCUGUGAGAACCUGUCUAUUGUAAUAGAGACUUCUACAAAAGAAGACAAAGGUCACUGAGGUCCACCUUAGACCCCCAAGACUUGAAGGACAUGAUAGACUGUGGGAAAUGGGGAAGCUUUCUCAAUUGAUGUUGCUAAAGUGAAGUGUCUUUCUUCUGGCUCCCUGUCUCUG
This 258-nucleotide long non-coding RNA is filed under the name Monodelphis domestica (gray short-tailed opossum). RNAcentral's name for it is "lncRNA (ENSMODG00000032680.2)". Lineage: Eukaryota; Metazoa; Chordata; Mammalia; Didelphimorphia; Didelphidae. The record is from RNAcentral.